UUCCAGGACGAGAAAUAUGAGUUUGUUUGUAAAAGGAAGAGAAAGAGCCAAGAGUGAAGGGAAGUAGAAGAAAUGGAUCGAGUGACAGCAAGAGAAGCAUGCAUUCCUUUCUGGAGCAGUACGGUUACCAGAAUCAGCGUCUUCCUUCAGCAUAAGACAAGGUCACUGGCAUGUAUCACGUUGUUAAACACUUGAGGAUUGGUGCCCGUGGUCCCAAGGGUUCCCUGAGAGCCUUCGAAACACUCUACAUGGAUGGAGGGAUCAGAGCUCAAGCCCUGGCUGGAGGCUGAUGGACUCUCCCUCUGUGUUGUCAAGUGGCAGGGCUGCAGCUGACAAAGGCGACCACCAUUCUGUUUCUCUGCUGCGUCAGAUUCAAAACUGAUGAACCCAGAAUGGGGCUCAUCAAUUUCAAAAGAAAAGGUUCUCUGCUUUCUUUGUUGGUCUCGGAAGAUAAAUAUUUCUCGUGGCACCUCUGACAUGGCUAUGCGUCUGUGUAGGUCAGCAGUAAAUAGAUGGGGUUGAUGGAUGGAAAUGGCAAACCGAAAGGACAGACUCACUCAAAGCCCACUGUGGAGGGCCCAUGAAUCUCUCCAUCGUAUUUGGUUAAUGGUCAAUCUGACACUUUUCCCACCCAAACAUAUAUCUAGAACAACUAAUAUCGAUUCUCUUCUAGGGACGUAUCAGGCAAGGAUGGCUGCAUUUGAUUUGAAAGGGGCAAGGAAGAAGCUCAGUGUAAACAGAGUGACAUUGUGUGACUCUUAGGUGAGGCUAGUAGGACAACUGCUUGUGACCAGGAGAGCUCAUGUCUGAGUGGCGGGAAGCGAAUGUGCGUGGUCCUCUUACGUUCUGUUGUCAUUUUUU
Long non-coding RNA from Aethalodelphis obliquidens (Pacific white-sided dolphin), 861 nucleotides. RefSeq lists it as uncharacterized. Lineage: Eukaryota; Metazoa; Chordata; Mammalia; Artiodactyla; Delphinidae. The record is from RefSeq and is a predicted model, not a curated record. The transcript is spliced from 3 exons.